Small nuclear RNA from Mustela putorius furo (domestic ferret), 156 nucleotides. Its record names the gene U1. It matches the Rfam family "U1 spliceosomal RNA". From Rfam's summary of the family: U1 is a small nuclear RNA (snRNA) component of the spliceosome (involved in pre-mRNA splicing). Its 5' end forms complementary base pairs with the 5' splice junction, thus defining the 5' donor site of an intron. There are significant differences in sequence and secondary structure between metazoan and yeast U1 snRNAs, the latter being much longer (568 nucleotides as compared to 164 nucleotides in human). Lineage: Eukaryota; Metazoa; Chordata; Mammalia; Carnivora; Mustelidae. The record is from Ensembl.
AUACGUACCUGGCAGGGGAGAUAUCAUCGUCACGAUGGUGCUUUUCCCAGGGCGAGGCUUAUCCAUUGCACGAAGGGGAUGCUGACCUCUGCAGUUUCCCCAACUGUGGGAAACUUACAGCAUAAUCUGGAGUGGAGGACUCUGUCCAUGCUUCCA